GAUGAACGCUGGCGGCGUGCCUAAUACAUGCAAGUCGAGCGAACAGAUGAGGAGCUUGCUCCUCUGACGUUAGCGGCGGACGGGUGAGUAACACGUGGAUAACCUACCUAUAAGACUGGGAUAACUUCGGGAAACCGGAGCUAAUACCGGAUAAUAUAUUGAACCUGAUGGUUCAAUAGUGAAAGACGGUUUUGCUGUCACUUAUAGAUGGAUCCGCGCCGGAUUAGCUAGUUGGUAAGGUAACGGCUUACCAAGGCAACGAUGGGUAGCCGACCUGGGAGGGUGAUCGGCCACACUGGAACUGAGACGCGGUCCAGACGCCUACGGGAGGCAGCAGUAGGGAAUCUUCCGCAAUGGGCGAAAGCCUGACGGAGCAACGCCGCGUGAGUGAUGAAGGUGUUCGGAUCGUAAAACUCUGUUAUUAGGGAAGAACAAAUGUGUAAGUAACUAUGCACGUCUUGACGGUACCUAAUCAGAAAGCCACGGCUAACUACGUG
Molecule: ribosomal RNA, 497 nt
Filed under: uncultured bacterium
Lineage: Bacteria
Description: partial 16S ribosomal RNA
Rfam family: Bacterial small subunit ribosomal RNA
Source: RNAcentral